This 1469-nucleotide ribosomal RNA is filed under the name metagenome. RNAcentral describes it as "bacterial SSU rRNA". It matches the Rfam family "Bacterial small subunit ribosomal RNA". The record is from RNAcentral.
AGAGUUUGAUCCUGGCUCAGGACGAACGCUGGCGGCACGCUUAACACAUGCAAGUCGAACGAGAGAAGAGGAGCUUGCUUUUCUGAUCUAGUGGCGGACGGGUGAGUAACACGUGAGCAAUCUGCCUUUCAGAGGGGGAUACCGAUUGGAAACGAUCGUUAAUACCGCAUAACAUAAUUGACCGCAUGAUUUGAUUAUCAAAGAUUUAUCGCUGGAAGAUGAGCUCGCGUCUGAUUAGCUAGUUGGUAAGGUAACGGCUUACCAAGGCGACGAUCAGUAGCCGGACUGAGAGGUUGAUCGGCCACAUUGAGACUGAGACACGGCCCAGACUCCUACGGGAGGCAGCAGUGGGGAAUAUUGCACAAUGGAGGAAACUCUGAUGCAGCGAUGCCGCGUGAGGGAAGAAGGUUUUAGGAUUGUAAACCUCUGUCUUCAGGGACGAAAAAAGACGGUACCUGAGGAGGAAGCUCCGGCUAACUACGUGCCAGCAGCCGCGGUAAUACGUAGGGAGCGAGCGUUGUCCGGAAUUACUGGGUGUAAAGGGAGCGUAGGCGGGAUCGCAAGUCAGAUGUGAAAACUAUGGGCUUAACCCAUAAACUGCAUUUGAAACUGUGGUUCUUGAGUGAAGUAGAGGUAAGCGGAAUUCCUAGUGUAGCGGUGAAAUGCGUAGAUAUUAGGAGGAACAUCAGUGGCGAAGGCGGCUUACUGGGCUUUAACUGACGCUGAGGCUCGAAAGCGUGGGGAGCAAACAGGAUUAGAUACCCUGGUAGUCCACGCCGUAAACGAUGAUUACUAGGUGUGGGGGGACUGACCCCUUCCGUGCCGCAGCAAACGCAAUAAGUAAUCCACCUGGGGAGUACGACCGCAAGGUUGAAACUCAAAGGAAUUGACGGGGGCCCGCACAAGCAGUGGAGUAUGUGGAUUAAUUCGAAGCAACGCGAAGAACCUUACCAGGUCUUGACAUCGUAUGCAUAGCUCAGAGAUGAGUGAAAUCUCUUCGGAGACAUAUAGACAGGUGGUGCAUGGUUGUCGUCAGCUCGUGUCGUGAGAUGUUGGGUUAAGUCCCGCAACGAGCGCAACCCUUACUGUUAGUUGCUACGCAAGAGCACUCUAGCAGGACUGCCGUUGACAAAACGGAGGAAGGUGGGGAUGACGUCAAAUCAUCAUGCCCCUUAUGACCUGGGCCUCACACGUACUACAAUGGCUGUCAACAGAGGGAAGCAAAGCCGCGAGGUGGAGCGAACCCCUAAAAGCAGUCUUAGUUCGGAUUGUAGGCUGCAACCCGCCUACAUGAAGUCGGAAUUGCUAGUAAUCGCAGAUCAGCAUGCUGCGGUGAAUACGUUCCCGGGCCUUGUACACACCGCCCGUCACGCCAUGGGAGUCGGUAACACCCGAAGCCUGUAGUCUAACCGCAAGGAGGACGCAGUCGAAGGUGGGAUUGAUGACUGGGGUGAAGUCGUAACAAGGUA